GGGCGCAUAGCUCAGUUGGUUAGAGCGCAGCGUUCACAUCGCUGAGGUCGAAGGUUCGAGCCCUUCUGUGCCCA
This 74-nucleotide transfer RNA is filed under the name Candidatus Omnitrophota bacterium. Its description in RNAcentral is "Candidatus Omnitrophica bacterium (sediment metagenome) tRNA-Val". It matches the Rfam family "tRNA". Rfam says of the family: Transfer RNA (tRNA) molecules are approximately 80 nucleotides in length. Their secondary structure includes four short double-helical elements and three loops (D, anti-codon, and T loops). Lineage: Bacteria; Pseudomonadati; Candidatus Omnitrophota. The record is from RNAcentral.